GACGAACGCUGGCGGCGUGCCUAAUACAUGCAAGUAGAACGCUGAAGAGAGGAGCUUCCUCUUCUUGGAUGAGUUGCGAACGGGUGAGUAACGCGUAGGUAACCUGCCUUGUAGCGGGGGAUAACUAUUGGAAACGAUAGCUAAUACCGCAUAACAAUGGAUGGCACAUGUCAUUUAUUUGAAAGGGGCAAUUGCUCCACUACAAGAUGGACCUGCGUUGUAUUAGCUAGUAGGUGAGGUAAUGGCUCACCUAGGCGACGAUACAUAGCCGACCUGAGAGGGUGAUCGGCCACACUGGGACUGAGACACGGCCCAGACUCCUACGGGAGGCAGCAGUAGGGAAUCUUCGGCAAUGGGGGCAACCCUGACCGAGCAACGCCGCGUGAGUGAAGAAGGUUUUCGGAUCGUAAAGCUCUGUUGUAAGUCAAGAACGGGUGUGAGAGUGGAAAGUUCACACUGUGACGGUAGCUUACCAGAAAGGGACGGCUAACUACGUG
RNAcentral lists this ribosomal RNA (497 nucleotides) under uncultured bacterium. RNAcentral describes it as "partial 16S ribosomal RNA". It matches the Rfam family "Bacterial small subunit ribosomal RNA", at positions 28 to 507 of the family's 1533-position model. The record is from RNAcentral.